Molecule: transfer RNA, 75 nt
Filed under: Oscillospiraceae bacterium
Lineage: Bacteria; Bacillati; Bacillota; Clostridia; Eubacteriales; Oscillospiraceae
Description: tRNA-Arg
Rfam family: tRNA
About the family: Transfer RNA (tRNA) molecules are approximately 80 nucleotides in length. Their secondary structure includes four short double-helical elements and three loops (D, anti-codon, and T loops).
Source: RNAcentral
GCCCUCGUAGUUAAAUGGACAUAACAGGGUCCUCCUAAGACUCAGUUGUAGGUUCGAUUCCUGUCGGGGGUGCCA